GACGGAGGGUGCUAGCGUUGUUCGGAAUGACUGGGCGUAAAGGGCGCGUAGGCGGCCGCUUGCGUCGGAUGUGAAAGCCCGGGGCUCAACCCCGGAACGGCAUCCGAUACGGGGCGGCUCGAGACCGAGAGAGGUGAGUGGAAUACCCAGUGUAGAGGUGAAAUUCGUAGAUAUCGAGAGGAACACCGGUGGCGAAGGCGGCCUUCUGGACAGCAACUGACGCUGAGACGCGAAAGCGUGGGGAGCAAACAGG
Molecule: ribosomal RNA, 253 nt
Filed under: uncultured bacterium
Lineage: Bacteria
Description: partial 16S ribosomal RNA
Rfam family: Bacterial small subunit ribosomal RNA
Source: RNAcentral